GACGAACGCUGGCGGCGUGCUUAACACAUGCAAGUCGAACGGAAAGGCCUCUUUCGGGGGGUACUCGAGUGGCGAACGGGUGAGUAACACGUGAGUAACCUGCCCUUGACUUUGGGAUAACUUCAGGAAACUGGGGCUAAUACCGGAUAGGAGCUCCUGCUGCAUGGUGGGGGUUGGAAAGUUUCGGCGGUUGGGGAUGGAUUCGCGGCUUAUCAGCUUGUUGGUGGGGUAGUGGCUUACCAAGGCUUUGACGGGUAGCCGGCCUGAGAGGGUGACCGGCCACAGUGGGACUGAGAUACGGCCCAGACUCCUACGGGAGGCAGCAGGGGGGAAGAUUGCACAAGGGGUGGAGGCCUGAUGCAGCAACGCCGUGGGCGGGAGGACGGCCUUCGGGUUGUAAACCGCUUUCGCUCAUGACGAAGCUUUGUGUGACGGUAGUGGGUAAAGAAGCACCGGCUAACUACGUG
RNAcentral lists this ribosomal RNA (467 nucleotides) under uncultured bacterium. RNAcentral's name for it is "partial 16S ribosomal RNA". It matches the Rfam family "Bacterial small subunit ribosomal RNA", at positions 28 to 507 of the family's 1533-position model. The record is from RNAcentral.